Oreochromis niloticus (Nile tilapia) is the source of this 565-nucleotide long non-coding RNA. RefSeq lists it as uncharacterized. The transcript is spliced from 2 exons. The record is from RefSeq and is a predicted model, not a curated record. NCBI's taxonomy places the organism in Eukaryota, Metazoa, Chordata, Actinopteri, Cichliformes, Cichlidae.
AGGAAACAAAACACAGACUGAAGAAAACACUGUGGAUAAUGAUGAAGAUGAAGGUACAGUGAACUAUGAAAACACUGGAGACUCUUCUGCUUCUGUCAGACUCCACUGACCAACAACUUCAACAUCAACUGAUCACAGAAAUGAAUCCACUGAUUUUUUUUAAACAUUUCCAUUUUGAUUUUAUUUAAUAUUUUGAAGCCAAAUCUUUUUCAUGUGCAGUUAGUUAGCUAGUUAAAAAUAACUUAAACUCUGUGUGUCUGAAACUGUUUGUCCACUUACAUAAAGAAAAGACUCUCAGACUGGGAAUGUUGCAUUCAGAAGGUUGACUGAGAAGUCGAGUUUUGAUGAAAUAAACUGCUUCAGACAUGAAGGGGGAGGCCAACAUAAUCAGUUUAACAGAUUCUUUGUUGCUCUUUAAAUUUAUUUUGAUGUAUUUGAUUGUUACUCUUUAUCUUUAUUUAUGGCACAGUAACCAAUGUUGUUUUCAAUUUUAUGACUUUACUGUCAUCUGUAACUAUUUGUCUUUAUUUUGGCUGUAUAAGAAUGAAUUUUUUUUAAAGAUUGA